AACGAACGCUGGCGGCAGGCCUAAAACAUGCAAGUCGAACGAACCUUCGGGUUAGUGGCGCACGGGUGAGAAACACGUGGGAACGUACCCUUUGGCGCGGAACAACGUCUGGAAACGGACGCUAAUACCGCAUAAUAUCUACGGAUCAAAGAUUUAUAGCCAAAGGAACGGACCGCGUUAGAUUAGGUAGUUGGUAGGGUAAUGGCCUACCAAGCCCACGAUCUAUAGCUGUUUUGAGAUGAUGAUCAGCCACACUGGGACUGAGACACGGCCCAGACUCCUACGGGUGGCAGCAGUUAGGAAUAUUGGACAGUGGGGGAAACCCUGAGCCAGCCAUGCCGCGUGUGUGAAGAAGGCCUUAGGGUUGUAAAGCACUUUCAUCUGCGAAGAUAAUGACAGUAACAGAAGAAGAAGCUCCGGCUAAAUUCGUGCCAGCAGCCGCGGUAA
This 447-nucleotide ribosomal RNA is filed under the name uncultured bacterium. RNAcentral's name for it is "partial 16S ribosomal RNA". It matches the Rfam family "Bacterial small subunit ribosomal RNA", at positions 29 to 523 of the family's 1533-position model. The record is from RNAcentral.